GGGAACGUAGCUUAACGGCAAAGCGUGAACGUUCAUUAACUCAGGCAAGUUGUAUGAGGGUUCAAAUCCCUCCGUUCCCACCA
This 83-nucleotide transfer RNA is filed under the name Clostridia bacterium. Its description in RNAcentral is "tRNA-OTHER". It matches the Rfam family "tRNA". Rfam says of the family: Transfer RNA (tRNA) molecules are approximately 80 nucleotides in length. Their secondary structure includes four short double-helical elements and three loops (D, anti-codon, and T loops). Further hydrogen bonds mediate the characteristic L-shaped molecular structure. tRNAs have two regions of fundamental functional importance: the anti-codon, which is responsible for specific mRNA codon recognition, and the 3' end, to which the tRNAs corresponding amino acid is attached (by aminoacyl-tRNA synthetases). tRNAs cope with the degeneracy of the genetic code in two manners: having more than one tRNA (with a specific anti-codon) for a particular amino acid; and 'wobble' base-pairing, i.e. permitting non-standard base-pairing at the 3rd anti-codon position. The record is from RNAcentral. Lineage: Bacteria; Bacillati; Bacillota; Clostridia.